GACAGAGGGUGCAAACGUUGUUCGGAAUUACUGGGCGUAAAGCGCGUGUAGGCGGCUAAGUAAGUCGGGCGUGAAAUCCCACGGCUCAACCGUGGAAGUGCACUCGAAACUGCAUAGCUAGAGUCCUGGAGAGGAAGGUGGAAUGCUUGGUGUAGAGGUGAAAUUCGUAGAUAUCAAGCGGAACACCGGUGGCGAAGGCGGCCUUCUGGGCAGUGACUGACGCUGAGACGCGAAAGCGUGGGGAGCAAACAGG
This 253-nucleotide ribosomal RNA is filed under the name uncultured bacterium. RNAcentral's name for it is "partial 16S ribosomal RNA". It matches the Rfam family "Bacterial small subunit ribosomal RNA", at positions 524 to 776 of the family's 1533-position model. The record is from RNAcentral.